GGUGAGUUGGCCAAGUUGGUAAGGCAUCGCUCUCUCAAGGCGAAGACCACGAGUUCGAACCUCGUACUCACUA
This 73-nucleotide transfer RNA is filed under the name Bacteroidaceae bacterium. RNAcentral describes it as "tRNA-Glu". It matches the Rfam family "tRNA". From Rfam's summary of the family: Transfer RNA (tRNA) molecules are approximately 80 nucleotides in length. Their secondary structure includes four short double-helical elements and three loops (D, anti-codon, and T loops). The record is from RNAcentral. Lineage: Bacteria; Pseudomonadati; Bacteroidota; Bacteroidia; Bacteroidales; Bacteroidaceae.